Molecule: non-coding RNA, 58 nt
Filed under: unclassified sequences
Description: msiK RNA
Rfam family: msiK RNA
Source: RNAcentral
ACCAGCACCUUCAUCCUCGGACCGUCGGGCACGUACCUGCCCGGAUAAGGAAAUGUAA